Molecule: transfer-messenger RNA, 363 nt
Filed under: Actinomycetota bacterium
Lineage: Bacteria; Bacillati; Actinomycetota
Rfam family: transfer-messenger RNA
About the family: Bacterial tmRNA, also known as 10Sa RNA or SsrA, is named for its dual tRNA and mRNA-like properties. Its role is to liberate the mRNA from a stalled ribosome. To accomplish this part of the tmRNA is used as a reading frame that ends in a translation stop signal.
Source: RNAcentral
GGGGACGACAUGGCUUCGACGUGGUCGGCUUCGUGGCGGUGGUUGCGAGCCGAGGUGCCAGGAGGCCUCGUAAAACACCUGGCAAAACCAUAAGUGCGGACUCUCACGAGUUCGCGUACGCCUAGCACCAACUAGGCGUGCGCUCCGGCCCCCCGCCUGCCGGCCGCGGGGACCCGCCGGAUCAGAAUGCCGGCUCACCCGGGGAGGUCCGCUUCCGCCGAACCGGGGACAUCUUCAGGGAGCUGGCCUUCGGGAACCCCGCCGGCGAGGCGACCCGAAGGCGAGAUCAGAGCGCCGGAUACGCUCGUAGACGCCACCCCCACGCGAUCGCGGACGCGGGUUCGAUUCCCGCCGUCUCCACUC